GCCUCAUGGGAGGUCUGGCCCAAGGAAGCUUUCUUUUGAUGGAGCAUGCAGGCGUUUUUUUUGCUCGCAGUCCCCUCCAGGAAACCAGCAGCAAGGAGCAGUAAAUCAAUAGCCACGCAGUGUGGGCAAAUGACAACCCGUUUAGUUUGCCGGCCUACUUCGUUUCACAACAUGUGGCCUGGCCUUCUAAACCGAAGGCAUGGUCUCGGGGAGAAAAUAUUUCCCUGCACUAAAUCAGAUUUGGCAGCAGGUGGUCCGUGGAGUUGUGAGUGAGCUGCCUCUACACCUGCCAAGGACUGUGGAGCCAGAAGAAAUCACUCUAUUUUUCUCCACCCUGAUUAUUCAAUCUUGCAGUCCUAUUGCUGGCUCAAGAUAAGAUGGAGAAUCCAUGCAGUGGAGGCUUAUCUGAACUUAGCACACACUCUCAGGAGUAUGGGAUUUCACUAGAAAUUCCAUCACCACACUUCAGGGUCAUGAGGUCUGGAGCCAAUCCCAUCAUGCACUGAGCAGAAUCCAGCAUAACAUGUACAGUAUGACACAUUGCCGUCUUAACAAAAUCAGUUGACUUUCGUCUGUUACUUCCUUGGAUACCUCUUUACUUUUUUUGGAUACUCUCUGUAAGUGGUUGUAUUAUACUACCAUGAUGUUUUUUUGCAUGCACAGAUGUACCGUGUG
This is a long non-coding RNA of Sander lucioperca (pikeperch), 675 nucleotides long. RefSeq lists it as uncharacterized. Lineage: Eukaryota; Metazoa; Chordata; Actinopteri; Perciformes; Percidae. The transcript has 3 exons. The record is from RefSeq and is a predicted model, not a curated record.